Molecule: long non-coding RNA, 2193 nt
Organism: Hemicordylus capensis (graceful crag lizard)
Lineage: Eukaryota; Metazoa; Chordata; Lepidosauria; Squamata; Cordylidae
Exons: 3
Source: RefSeq, a predicted model, not a curated record
AUAUUCCUCCAGCACGUUGGAGUUAAAAAGGUGCUUUGGAAGUUGCCUGCUGGAUCCUUAACAGCAGCUCUUUGCAGAUACUUGAGAAGAGGUAACCGGACCUGUGUACAGGAUGGAACUGGAUUUGUGCUAAGUGGUUGUGUGUGUUUGGAGAGUUAGUAUCUGGAAAUCUGUGCUUCUCCUUGUCUUUCUCCCCUGUGGGUGGACUGUCUACUUAUACAGGCUUUAGAAUUGGGUCUGUGCAAAGACUGUACUAAAACUCCACACAUGUAACCAGGACAAAGGAAUUCCUCUUUUGCUUUGCAGGUAAAGUUUUGAAGGGAGGGUUCUUGAUCAGCCGUCAGUGUGUUUCAUUAUUCAAGUCAAACCUCCACCCCAGACUGAAUUUCUUUGCCGCCGCUGCUGCUGCUGCUGCUUUUGCUUUGAUUCUGGUCUGUCUUGAGGAAGGCGUGCAGCCACACCCUGGGAGAAAGCAGAACAGAGACAGAGAGAGAUUUGAAGGGCAUCCAGAUCAUUUGAAGCCUGCCAGAUUGGCUGCAUGCCAGAAUUACCCCAACUCUUCACCUAAAAUGGACAGUAAGCAUGGUCAUCUCCUGCUGAGAUACCUACAGUUGUUGUAAGCUAUUUAAUUAUUAAAUUUUGUGUAAAGCCAGUGAGCACGCAUUGUACUCUAGACAGUGAUGAACUGUUUGUUGGUGUCCUUUCUAAGACCUAUUAAAUGGGCACAUUGUUCCUUUUCCCUUUGUGUAUACAUUGUGUAAAUACUCCCCUUGUGGGUCUGGGAUGCUCACAUUCAAAUGAGAAAGGCUUGGGUGGUGGAGCAUGACGACGAAUCUUGUGUGCGGUUCAAUCCCUACCAUCUCUGGUGAAGGUAUAUCAGGAUAAUAAAUUUAUUUUGUCGGAGGCCCUGGAGAGCUGGGUUGACAAUCAUUGACUUGGUUCCAGAAAGUCUCCUGAGCAAGGCCCUUGGCAGCAAAAAUAAGAAACCCUUAUCUUCUGAAGUCGCUCUCGGUCUAGGCUAUGAAAAAGACAUGAAAUGUUGUUAUGAAGAUGAAUCUUAAUGCAUUCCUCGUUUCCAGGGAGAUUGUAAAACUUGCUGUGCAGCUUCCAUAUGUACUCUAUGGCUGGAAUAAAUGGUAGCUUUUUAUAGAGCUGGUUUGUUUGAAAGAGGAUUCUGCUGCUUGUGGGAGGGGCCAUAGAUCGGAGCAGCUGCUUUGCAGGCAGAGGAUUCCAGGUUCAACCCUUGGCAUCUGCAGUGGAAGGAUCAGGUAGCAGAUGCAGGUUUGGAUUCUGAGUGUGCAGCUGCUUUUCUGAAGAGAAGAUGAGAAACAAUCCCACACGAACUAGAAAUGAGAUGUCGGAGAGGCCAGACUUCUGUGGUAGUGCUAAAUCUGCAACGUGCAUUUGGAAAGCUCAAGAGAUGGAUAUGUGCUUGUGCUCUGGAUCUAAUCAUCCCAUUUGAAGCCAGGAAAGAAUGUCAAACUGGUCUAUAAUUUUUUUUUAAUGCUUUUCUGUAUCCAAGUAUGUGCUGCUCGCUCAGCUUUCAGCUAGGAUUUUCUGAGUGAUAAUAUCUCUGGCUAAUAAUAGCGCUUAGCUUGUAAUCAGUUUGACAAUACAUGCAAGACCAUAUAUUGCAAAGAUGUUCAUCGGGCUUUCAAUGUUGUGCAUGCUUAAGAAGAAGCGCAGAUUAAAGAUUUAACCCUGUUGGGAGAGAAUCAUGCCAGAUGUUGAUGGCAUGUCUGACAAAUAAGUGAAUUAAGGAGGACAGAAAUAUGGUUUAAUAUUUAAUAUUUAAUUUUGACAAAUACCAUUUUUAGUGUGGAUGUCUUGGCCUCUGACACAUUUUCAAGUCCUAACCGGGCACAAGCUAGUUGCAGGAGAUUCAGGGGAUGGUUUGCAUUAAACCAGUAAGCUAAGGCUCAACUUUUCAACAGGCCUCUGCAACUGUGCUUUUAACAGAAGCGUGUGCAGACUGUGAAAAGCAUCACCUUCUGAUUUCUGCUGUUAAUGGCAUAAGAACAAAACAGACAGGGUUUCCUGGUUAGUUGGCAAACUCACAAAUGCUGGAAGCCAGGGUUACUAUUCCACUGUACACAAAAAUAAAUCUGAGGGUUUUUCUUCUUACUCUGAAUGUAUUAAUGCAGACUAUUGUAUCACACACAUACACUCUCUAACUGUACUCAGUAAUACUGG